This 1230-nucleotide long non-coding RNA is filed under the name Nicotiana benthamiana. RNAcentral's name for it is "long non-coding RNA (NBEN_LNC025429)". Lineage: Eukaryota; Viridiplantae; Streptophyta; Magnoliopsida; Solanales; Solanaceae. The record is from RNAcentral.
AAGUUGGAGUGAAUUGAGAAAUAUAAACACAUAUUAAUUUCCUCUAUAUUCUGGAAAAGUUGUUAGUGUUGUUCUUAUUCCUGUGGAAUUUUGAUCCCUUCAAAAGUCUUUCCUAAAAUCUGGGAGUUUACUGUUCGAUUGGUUGCUGCUUUGUUUUUUGAUUACUUUUAUUUACUCAUAGGUUUUAUUCCUUGCUGAAUUCCAGUACCGAUCCUCAUCCCAAUUCUGAGAAGUUAUAAGCAUUUAUGUGCAGUCGAGAUAAUGAAAAGAUAGUGUUACAUCAUUUAUUCGUUUCAAUUCAUGUUGUAAUCUAAUUUAUUCUCUUAAAAUUUUCUGAUAUUUGUACUAAAACAUGUAUAAUCUGGACUGUGAUGGGAUUGUAUACUUUAUUUACAUAGGUCCAGCAGACUUUAUAGUAGAGUGAUCAAAAAUGAGCUUAUUGUUUUAUAAUCUGUGUUAUAUGUUAGGAAUUUGAUAACUGAAUAUAUAUAAUACUCUGAAUGAUGAGUAUUCUAAGCUAUCUCUUCAAACGUUUGGGUUAAAUCUGAUGCAAAAUUAUUUCUAGUGUCAUCUUUGCAAAUAUUAUUGGCAUAUUUUCUAACGCUCAGGUAUAUGUUUUGUUUUAUAAUUGUGGUAUAAUCAGAAACUGAAAAGUUGUUAUCCUAUAUGGACUUGUUAGUCCAAUAACCAUUGGCCCAAUUAGAAGGCCCAGCAACGACCAAUUAUAAUGUGGUACUCCACGUUCCUAGACUGACUAGAAAUAAAAACCCAAAUCAGUCAUGAACAAGGCCCAAUAACUGCCAGUUAUGGCAUAAACAACGCAGGCUCCUGGGUUAGUCAAACGAAACCCAAUGUAUAGUUAGCCAUGAAUGAGGCUAAAAUAUAAGUAUUGAAAUUCCCAAAACCUUUGAGUAAAUGACUAGGAUAUUUUAGAUCCAAGAAUAAUAGAAAUUUAACAUGCUUUAGGAUGCCCACAUAAAAUCAAGUGAGCUUUGUUAACUAAGUCAAACACCACGAUGCUCCUUAAAUUGAUAAAAUAUUUAGAAAAUUGGAAGUGCCGUAUAGCAAAUUUCACGGCAUCCCAUGAAUUUUUAAGACAUAGUUGCCAUAGGCGCGAAUUUAUUAAUAAAAUAUCUUCCUAAACUCGGGUGCAUUUAUUUUAUCCGAAUCCGAAUCUCAUUGGAGUUGAAAUAUAUCUAAAAACUGUGUGUGCAUUUAUGUGACGCGAUU